UACGUAGGGUGCGAGCGUUAAUCGGAAUUACUGGGCGUAAAGCGUGCGCAGGCGGUUAUUUAAGUCAGGUGUGAAAGCCCUGGGCUUAACCUAGGAAUUGCGCUUGAGACUGGAUAGCUUGGAGUGCGGCAGAGGGAGGUGGAAUUCCACAUGUAGCAGUGAAAUGCGUAGAGAUGUGGAGGAACACCGAUGGCGAAGGCAGC
RNAcentral lists this ribosomal RNA (203 nucleotides) under uncultured bacterium. RNAcentral describes it as "partial 16S ribosomal RNA". It matches the Rfam family "Bacterial small subunit ribosomal RNA", at positions 524 to 725 of the family's 1533-position model. The record is from RNAcentral.